UCAUGCUCAGAGCUGCCCUUGAGUUUUCAGUCUCAAACGUGCUGCUUGAUUCAUGCUCAGAGCUGCUUUCCACUGCCUAAUUCUCAGGCUUUGGCACAGUCUGACUAGCAGCAUAUGGAGGAAGGUCCAGGUGUGUUUCUCAGGUGUCCCCCGAGGCUCCCCAUGCAAAGGCAGAAAUAUUCCCUGCUUACUUGGAGAGGCAGAAAUUUUUCCUGCCCCUGCAUCUUCCAGGGAGGCUCCAGCUCAGAUGACUGGGGAGGACCAGAACCUGCUUUCAGGGACACUUAAAUGCUUUCAGCAGGUGUUAAGAGGUCCCACCAACGCAAUUACCCUCUGUGAUUAACAUGCCACACUGCAGGGAGAACCGAUAUGCCAUUCCCAGUGGCAGCAGCCACGGGGGCUGCCACCUCUGCCAGGCACAGAAGACAAUAUAAUCAUCCCUAGGAGUCUGCCUAGAUUCCAAGGCAGGAUCAGCAGAAAGUAAUAUGAAGCAUUAAUAAUCCCAGCUCAGCAGCGGAUCCUGUAUUCGAGCCAGAAGCGGGAGUAAGACGAGUGGUUAAAAAGUCCCAUAAGACAUUAGUACUGUGUGCAAAAUUGGAGCAUAAUGCUGGAAUAAUCAUUGGUGUGAGCUCUCACUUGUUUCCUUCAUUCUUGCACAGUCAUUAUUCCUUUUGGGACGCUGUCACUGUGUCUGCCAAGUGGUGGUCAGAAACCAGAGGAUAGCGACCAAUUAGUGGAGCUCUCAUUUGGUGGGAGGUCAUGCUGUGUGUUUGUUCUGCGCACGGCAGCAUCUGACACUCAGAAAGGGAUUCUGGUGGUGUCCUGGCAGCCGCUCUGCCUGAAGAGCCAAAAGGGAGCCUCCCUCCGGGUAAGUCAGCAGGUGUUAAGUGUAUGCUAAGCUGGUCUCAGCUGGAAGUCACUCUUUCAGUGUUAAGGGAUUGUUUUGCAUAUCCGAAAGAGUUUGCUGAGCUGUUUAACUAGAAGUAUUGAAGGAAUAAUGCCGCUUUUAUCCAUUUCAGUCUAUCAUUAAUAAUAAAAGUAGCUUUUCUUUCUCA
Long non-coding RNA from Alligator mississippiensis (American alligator), 1055 nucleotides. RefSeq lists it as uncharacterized. NCBI's taxonomy places the organism in Eukaryota, Metazoa, Chordata, Crocodylia, Alligatoridae. The record is from RefSeq and is a predicted model, not a curated record. The transcript has 2 exons.